GACGAACGCUGGCGGCGUGCUUAACACAUGCAAGUCGAGCGGAAAGGCCCUGCUUUUGUGGGGUGUUCGAGUGGGGAAGGGGUGGGUACAAGGGGGGAAACUUGCCCUGGACUUGGGGAUAACUUAGGGAAAUGGGGGCAAAUACGGGAUAGGGGCUCCUGCGGAAGGGUGGGGGUGGGAAGGUUUCGGCGGUUGGGGAUGGACUCGCGGCUUAUCAGCUUGUGGGUGGGGUAGUGGCUUACAAAGGCUUUGACGGGUAGCCGGCCUGAGAGGGUGACCGGCCACAUUGGGACUGAGAUACGGCCCAGACUCCUACGGGAGGCAGCAGUGGGGAAUAUUGCACAAUGGGCGGAAGCCUGAUGCAGCAACGCCGCGUGCGGGAUGACGGCCUUCGGGUUGUAAACCGCUUUCGCCUGUGACGAAGCGUGAGUGACGGUAAUGGGUAAAGAAGCACCGGCUAACUACG
This 466-nucleotide ribosomal RNA is filed under the name uncultured bacterium. RNAcentral's name for it is "partial 16S ribosomal RNA". It matches the Rfam family "Bacterial small subunit ribosomal RNA", at positions 28 to 505 of the family's 1533-position model. The record is from RNAcentral.